ACGAGUCCUAUGAGGACGAAGUGACUGACACCACGCUUCCAGGAAAAGCCACUAAGCUUCAGCUUAAGAAAAACCGUACCGCAAACCGACACAGGUAGGCAGGGUGAGAAUCCCAAGGCGCUUGAGAGAACUCGGGUGAAGGAACUAGGCAAAAUGGCACCGUAACUUCGGGAGAAGGUGCGCCCUUUGGUGUGGUCACGUGCGUGACUGAGCAUCGAAGGGUCGCAGUAACCUGGCCGCUGCGACUGUUUAUCAAAAACACAGCACUCUGCAAACACGAAAGUGUACGUAUAGGGUGUGACGCCUGCCCGGUGCUGGAAGGUUAAUUGAUGGGGUCAGCCGCAAGGCGAAGCUCUUGAUCGAAGCCCCAGUAAACGGCGGCCGUAACUAUAACGGUCCUAAGGUAGCGAAAUUCCUUGUCGGGUAAGUUCCGACCUGCACGAAUGGCGUAACGACAGCGGCGCUGUCUCCACCCGAGACUCAGUGAAAUUGAAAUCGCUGUGAAGAUGCAGCGUUCCCGCGGCAAGACGGAAAGACCCCGUGAACCUUUACUAUAGCUUUACACUGAACGUUGAGUUCUUCUGUGUAGGAUAGGUGGGAGGCUAUGAAACCAGGACGCUAGUUCUGGUGGAGCCAUCCUUGAAAUACCACCCUGAAGUGCUUGACGUUCUAACCUAGGCCCGUAAUCCGGGUCAGGGACCGUGUAUGGUGGGUAGUUUGACUGGGGCGGCCUCCUCCCAAAGAGUAACGGAGGAGCACGAAGGUACGCUCAGCGCGGUCGGACAUCGCGCACUGUGUGCAAAGGCAUAAGCGUGCUUGACUGCGAGAUCGACGGAUCAAGCAGGUACGAAAGUAGGUCUUAGUGAUCCGGUGGUUCUGUAUGGAAGGGCCAUCGCUCAACGGAUAAAAGGUACUCCGGGGAUAACAGGCUGAUACCGCCCAAGAGUUCAUAUCGACGGCGGUGUUUGGCACCUCGAUGUCGGCUCAUCACAUCCUGGGGCUGUAGCCGGUCCCAAGGGUAUGGCUGUUCGCCAUUUAAAGUGGUACGCGAGCCGGGUUCAGAACGUCGUGAGACAGUUCGGUCCCUAUCUGUCGUGGGCGUUGGAGAUUUGAGGGGGGCUGCUCCUAGUACGAGAGGACCGGAGUGGACGUUCCGCUGGUGUUCGGGUUGUCAUGCCCAUGGCAUUGCCCGGUAGCUACGAACGGAAGUGAUAACCGCUGAAAGCAUCUAAGCGGGAAGCACGCCCCAAGAUGAGAUCUCCCGAGAGCUUGACUCUCCUAAAGGCACCAUCAAGACUAGGUGGUUGAUAGGUCAGGUGUGGAAGCGCAGCAAUGCGUUGAGCUAACUGAUACUAAUGAGCCGUGAGGCUUGACCAA
RNAcentral lists this ribosomal RNA (1377 nucleotides) under metagenome. RNAcentral's name for it is "bacterial LSU rRNA". It matches the Rfam family "Bacterial large subunit ribosomal RNA", at positions 1569 to 2925 of the family's 2925-position model. The record is from RNAcentral.